RNAcentral lists this ribosomal RNA (253 nucleotides) under uncultured bacterium. Its description in RNAcentral is "partial 16S ribosomal RNA". It matches the Rfam family "Bacterial small subunit ribosomal RNA", at positions 524 to 776 of the family's 1533-position model. The record is from RNAcentral.
UACGUAGGGGGCUAGCGUUGUCCGGAAUCAUUGGGCGUAAAGAGCGCGUAGGCGGCCAGAUAAGUCCGGUGUGAAAGUCAAAGGCUCAACCUUUGAAUGCCGCUGGAAACUGUCUGGCUAGAGUCCGGGAGGGGCGAGUGGAAUUCCUGGUGUAGCGGUGAAAUGCGCAGAUAUCAGGAGGAACACCGAUGGCGAAGGCAGGUCUCUGGGCCAUAACUGACGCUGAGAAGCGAAAGCAUGGGGAGCGAACAGG